CCUCCGGGAUGCAGCAGUGGGGAAUAUUGGGCAAUGGGCGCAAGCCUGACCCAGCAACGCCGCGUGAAGGAAGAAGGCUUUCGGGUUGUACACUUCUUUUCUCAGGGACGAAGCAAGUGACGGUCCCUGAGGACUAAGCCAUGGCUACCUACGUGCCCGCAGCCGCGGUAAUACGUAGGUGGCAAGCGUUAUCCGGAUUUACUGGGUGUAAAGGGCGUGUAGGCGGGACUGCAAGUCAGAUGUGAAACCCACGGGCUCAACCGGUGGCCUGCAUUUGAAACUGUAGUGCUUGAGUACUGGAGAGGCAGACGGAAUUCCUAGUGUAGCGGUGAAAUGCGUAGAUAUGAGGAGGAACACCAGUGGCGAAGGCGGUCUGCUGGACAGCAACUGACGCUGAGGCGCGAAAGCGUGGGGAGCAAACAGGAUUAGAUACCCCGGUAGUC
RNAcentral lists this ribosomal RNA (443 nucleotides) under uncultured bacterium. Its description in RNAcentral is "partial 16S ribosomal RNA". It matches the Rfam family "Bacterial small subunit ribosomal RNA", at positions 338 to 795 of the family's 1533-position model. The record is from RNAcentral.